RNAcentral lists this ribosomal RNA (465 nucleotides) under uncultured bacterium. Its description in RNAcentral is "bacterial SSU rRNA". It matches the Rfam family "Bacterial small subunit ribosomal RNA", at positions 338 to 795 of the family's 1533-position model. The record is from RNAcentral.
CCUACGGGGGGCUGCAGUAGGGAAUCUUCCGCAAUGGACGAAAGUCUGACGGAGCAACGCCGCGUGAGCGAAGAAGGUCUUCGGAUCGUAAAGCUCUGUUGUUAGGGAAGAACAAGUACGGGAGGAAAUGACCGUACCUUGACGGUACCUAACGAGGAAGCCACGGCUAACUACGUGCCAGCAGCCGCGGUAAUACGUAGGUGGCGAGCGUUGUCCGGCAUUAUUGGGCGUAAAGCGCGCGCAGGCGGUCUUUUAAGUCUGAUGUGAAAUCUUGCGGCUCAACCGCAAGCGGUCAUUGGAAACUGGGAGACGUGAGUGCAGAAGAGGAAAGGGGAAUUCGACGUGUAGGGGUGAAAUGCGUAGAGAGGAGGAGGAACACCAGUGGCGGAGGCGGCUUUCUGGUCUGUAACUGACGCUGAGGCGCGAAAGCGUGGGGAGCAAACAUGAUUAGAGAUGCCUGUAGUC